CAAUAGCGUAUAUUAAAGUUGUUGCAGUUAAAAAGCUCGUAGUUGGAUUUCUGGUGAGAUGGAUUAUGUCUAGGUCGAAGGAUCUUGUUCAUGGUUCGUUUUGCCCUUCUUGUCAGGAACCCGCUGAGAUUCGCGUCUUGUCGGUGGAAUGGCAUCGUUUACUGUGAAAAAAUUAGAGUGUUCAAAGCAGGCAUCGCCGUUGAAUACAUUAGCAUGGAAUAAUAAGAUAAGACUUUGGUGGUCUAUUUUGUUGGUUUGCACGCCAAGGUAAUGAUUAAUAGGGAUAGUUGGGGGUAUUCGUAUUCUAUUGCUAGAGGUGAAAUUCUUAAAUUUAUGGAAGACGAACUACUGCGAAAGCAUUUACCAAGGAUGUUUUCAUUAA
RNAcentral lists this ribosomal RNA (382 nucleotides) under uncultured eukaryote. RNAcentral describes it as "partial 18S ribosomal RNA". It matches the Rfam family "Eukaryotic small subunit ribosomal RNA", at positions 592 to 976 of the family's 1831-position model. The record is from RNAcentral.